This 721-nucleotide long non-coding RNA is filed under the name Ornithorhynchus anatinus (platypus). RNAcentral describes it as "lncRNA (ENSOANG00000042393.1)". The record is from RNAcentral. Lineage: Eukaryota; Metazoa; Chordata; Mammalia; Monotremata; Ornithorhynchidae.
GCUAAAGAUAUAAGAGCCCUUCUGAUUACCUCCUCCCUUCCUAGUUGGGGGAAGAAAUGAGGCUAACUAGGAUAAGCUUCUCUCCUUUUGGCUGGGAGGAGGAGACAAGAUCAUCUUCAUUCUUGAGUAUGAGAAAAGAAGGCUGCUGAUUUGAGGUGAAAUCAACAGCCCCUCCUGUUUCAUUCAUGAACAUACAAGGAUCACCCCAUGCUGCAGCGUCAUAUCUGCUACACAAUGACUGGCACCAUUUUUCAUUUCUCUGCAAUCUUCUCAAAGCCUCUGUUAUUGUAAUUCAAGGACUGGAGCCACAUAUCUUUGUAUGCUGGUAUUUCCACCACGUUCCUAGUCCAGUGCCAAACUCACAGGAGCCAUACCAAUAAAUCUUCAAGAAGAGGAUAUCAUGCUAGAGAUUCUUAUGCUAGGAUGUGUUUUACACAUUUUGAUAUGUGAGACCUUCCCCCAAAUAAACCGUCACUUCCUUUUCUAAAUCCUCUCUUCUGUGUAGCCUGUGCACUUGGGUCUGUCUCUCAAGCAUUAUUGAUAUUCACCCCUCCCCCAGCCCUACAGCAUUUCUGUAUAUAUCCAUCUGCAAAUUACGUUCAUCUGUCUUCCCCACCCCCCUAGUCUAAAUGCUCUUUGUGGGUAUAGGUCAUGUCUGCCUACUCUUGUACUGUAGUUUUAUUCAAACCCUAAGUAUGAUGCUGUGCACACAGUAAGCACU